This 444-nucleotide ribosomal RNA is filed under the name uncultured bacterium. RNAcentral describes it as "bacterial SSU rRNA". It matches the Rfam family "Bacterial small subunit ribosomal RNA", at positions 331 to 792 of the family's 1533-position model. The record is from RNAcentral.
CCAGACUCCUACGGGAGGCAGCAGUGGGGAAUAUUGCACAAUGGGGGGAACCCUGAUGCAGCGACGCCGCGUGGGUGAGGAAGUACUUCGGUAUGUAAAGCCCUAUCAGCAGGGAAGAAAAUGACGGUACCUGACUAAGAAGCCCCGGCUAACUACGUGCCAGCAGCCGCGGUAAUACGUAGGGGGCAAGCGUUAUCCGGAUUUACUGGGUGUAAAGGGAGCGUAGACGGCGUGCCAAGUCUGAUGUGAAAGGCCGGGGCUCAACCCCGGGACUGCAUUGGAAACUGGCAUGCUGGAGUGCCGGAGGGGCAAGCGGAAUUCCUAGUGUAGCGGUGAAAUGCGUAGAUAUUAGGAGGAACACCAAUAGCGUAGGCAGGUUGCUGGGACGGUUCUGACACUAAGGCACGAAAGCGUAGGGAGCAAACGGGAUUAGAUACCCGGGUA